RNAcentral lists this ribosomal RNA (320 nucleotides) under uncultured bacterium. RNAcentral describes it as "bacterial SSU rRNA". It matches the Rfam family "Bacterial small subunit ribosomal RNA", at positions 470 to 789 of the family's 1533-position model. The record is from RNAcentral.
UGCAGGUACCGUAGGAAUAAGGAUCGGCUAACUACGUGCCAGCAGCCGCGGUAAUACGUAGGUGGCAAGCGUUAUCCGGAUUUAUUGGGCGUAAAGGGAACGCAGGCGGUUUUUUAAGUCUGAUGUGAAAGCCUUCGGCUUAACCGGAGAAUAGCAUUGGAAACUGGAAGACUUGAGUGCAGAAGAGGAGAGUGGAACUCCAUGUGUAGCGGUGAAAUGCGUAGAUAUAUGGAAGAACACCAGUGGCGAAAGCGGCUCUCUGGUCUGUAACUGACGCUGAGGUUCGAAAGCGUGGGUAGCAAACAGGAUUAGAUACCCUG